RNAcentral lists this ribosomal RNA (636 nucleotides) under uncultured bacterium. RNAcentral's name for it is "bacterial SSU rRNA". It matches the Rfam family "Bacterial small subunit ribosomal RNA", at positions 169 to 803 of the family's 1533-position model. The record is from RNAcentral.
CCCAAUGAUAUCUCUAGAAGGCAUCUGAAAGAGAUUAAAGAUUUAUCGGUGAUGGAUGGGGACGCGUCUGAUUAGCUUGUUGGCGGGGUAACGGCCCACCAAGGCAACGAUCAGUAGGGGUUCUGAGAGGAAGGUCCCCCACAUUGGAACUGAGACACGGUCCAAACUCCUACGGGAGGCAGCAGUGAGGAAUAUUGGUCAAUGGACGAGAGUCUGAACCAGCCAAGUAGCGUGCAGGAAGACGGCCCUAUGGGUUGUAAACUGCUUUUAUAAGGGAAUAAAGUGAGUCUCGUGAGACUUUUUGCAUGUACCUUAUGAAUAAGGACCGGCUAAUUCCGUGCCAGCAGCCGCGGUAAUACGGAAGGUCCGGGCGUUAUCCGGAUUUAUUGGGUUUAAAGGGAGCGUAGGCCGGAGAUUAAGCGUGUUGUGAAAUGUAGAUGCUCAACAUCUGAACUGCAGCGCGAACUGGUUUCCUUGAGUACGCACAAAGUGGGCGGAAUUCGUGGUGUAGCGGUGAAAUGCUUAGAUAUCACGAAGAACUCCGAUUGCGAAGGCAGCUCACUGGAGCGCAACUGACGCUGAAGCUCGAAAGUGCGGGUAUCGAACAGGAUUAGAUACCCUGGUAGUCCGCACGGU